RNAcentral lists this ribosomal RNA (441 nucleotides) under Triticum aestivum (bread wheat). RNAcentral describes it as "partial small subunit ribosomal RNA". The record is from RNAcentral. Lineage: Eukaryota; Viridiplantae; Streptophyta; Magnoliopsida; Poales; Poaceae.
AUGAAGAUGGUGCUUAAGGUGCCGAUGGUCUGCAAGAAGUGCAAGUCUUGCGUCCUUACGAUUGUGUCCAAGGUCAAAGGGGUCAAGUCGAUGGCAUACGACGAGGAGAAGAGCACGCUGACGGUGGUGGGGGAUGUGGACGUGGUGGUGGUCGUCGACGCGCUGCGCAAGGGGAAGCACCCGGCGACGGUGGUGACGGUGGGCGACGAGAAGAAGGAGGCGGAGGAGAAGAAGAAGAAGGAGGAAGAGGAGAAGAAGAAGAAGGAGGCCGAGGAGAAGAAGAAAAAGGAAUGCAUGCAGAAGCACUGCCUCAAGGCUUGCUCGCCGCCACUCUACUGCCCCAAGGCUUGCUCGCCGCCACGCCACUGCCCGCCGCCACCCCACUGCCCGCCGCAAUCCUACUGCUACGUCGACGACUCCGGCCCCUGCACCAUCAUGUGA